GACGAACGCUGGCGGCGUGCCUAACACAUGCAAGUCGAACGGAAAGGCCCUGCACUUGCCCGGUGCUCGAUUGGCGAACGGGUGAGAAACACGUGAGUAACCUGCCCCUGUCUUUGGGAUAUCACCAGGAAACAGGGGCUAAUACAGGACAGGAUCUCCUGCAGCAUGGGGUGGGUUGGAAAGAUUCGGCGGUUGGGGAUGGACUAGCUGCUUAUCAGCUAGAUGGGGGGGUAGUGGGUUACCAAGGUUUUGACGGGUAGCCGGCCUGAGAGGAUGACCGGCAGCAUUGGGAGUGAGAUAGGACUCAGUCUCCUACGGCGCGCAACGGGGGAGAAUAUUGCGCAAUAGAGGGAAGCCAGUUGCAGGAACGGGGCGAGCGGGAUGCCGGCCUUCGGGUUGAAAACCGCUUUCGACUGUACCAGAGAGUGAGUGACGGUACUUGUUAAAAAAGCAACGGCUAACUACGUG
Molecule: ribosomal RNA, 468 nt
Filed under: uncultured bacterium
Lineage: Bacteria
Description: partial 16S ribosomal RNA
Rfam family: Bacterial small subunit ribosomal RNA
Source: RNAcentral